ACCGCAUACGUCCUACGGGAGAAAGCAGGGGACUUCGGGCCUUGCGCUAUCAGAUGAGCCUAGGUCGGAUUAGCUAGUUGGUGAGGUAAUGGCUCACCAAGGCGACGAUCCGUAACUGGUCUGAGAGGAUGAUCAGUCACACUGGAACUGAGACACGGUCCAGACUCCUACGGGAGGCAGCAGUGGGGAAUAUUGGACAAUGGGCGAAAGCCUGAUCCAGCCAUGCCGCGUGUGUGAAGAAGGUCUUCGGAUUGUAAAGCACUUUAAGUUGGGAGGAAGGGUUGUAGAUUAAUACUCUGCAAUUUUGACGUUACCGACAGAAUAAGCACCGGCUAACUCUGUGCCAGCAGCCGCGGUAAUACAGAGGGUGCAAGCGUUAAUCGGAAUUACUGGGCGUAAAGCGCGCGUAGGUGGUUUGUUAAGUUGGAUGUGAAAGCCCCGGGCUCAACCUGGGAACUGCAUUCAAAACUGACAAGCUAGAGUAUGGUAGAGGGUGGUGGAAUUUCCUGUGUAGCGGUGAAAUGCGUAGAUAUAGGAAGGAACACCAGUGGCGAAGGCGACCACCUGGACUGAUACUGACACUGAGGUGCGAAAGCGUGGGGAGCAAACAGGAUUAGAUACCCUGGUAGUCCACGCCGUAAACGAUGUCAACUAGCCGUUGGGGACCUUGAGUCUUUAGUGUUGCAGCUAACGCAUUAAGUUUAAUUUUUUCGGAGCGGCGA
RNAcentral lists this ribosomal RNA (722 nucleotides) under Pseudomonas koreensis. RNAcentral describes it as "bacterial SSU rRNA". It matches the Rfam family "Bacterial small subunit ribosomal RNA", at positions 168 to 873 of the family's 1533-position model. The record is from RNAcentral. Lineage: Bacteria; Pseudomonadati; Pseudomonadota; Gammaproteobacteria; Pseudomonadales; Pseudomonadaceae.